This 272-nucleotide ribosomal RNA is filed under the name uncultured archaeon. RNAcentral's name for it is "partial 16S ribosomal RNA". It matches the Rfam family "Archaeal small subunit ribosomal RNA", at positions 748 to 1020 of the family's 1478-position model. The record is from RNAcentral.
AGGGUGUAAACGCUGCAGACUUGGUGUUGGAGGCCCUUUGGGGGCAUUCAGUGCCGGAGAGAAGUUGUUAAGUCUGCUACUUGGGGAGUACGUCCGCAAGGAUGAAACUUAAAGGAAUUGGCGGGGGAGCACCGCAACGGGAGGAGCGUGCGGUUUAAUUGGAUUCAACACCGUAAAACUCACCAGGGAAGACUGUUACAUGAAGGCCGAGAUGAAGACUCUGCUAGAUUUUCAGAGAGGUGGUGCAUGGCGUCAGUGACUCUGAGUCAGAG